UAACCUGCCUAUCAGAGGGGGAUAACAUUCGGAAACGGAUGCUAAAACCGCAUAGGUCUUCGAACCGCAUGGUUUGAAGAGGAAAAGAGGCGCAAGCUUCUGCUGAUGGAUGGACCCGCGGUGCAUUAGCUAGUUGGUGAGGUAACGGCUCACCAAGGCCGUGAUGCAUAGCCGACCUGAGAGGGUGAUCGGCCACAUUGGGACUGAGACACGGCCCAA
This 219-nucleotide ribosomal RNA is filed under the name uncultured bacterium. Its description in RNAcentral is "partial 16S ribosomal RNA". It matches the Rfam family "Bacterial small subunit ribosomal RNA", at positions 122 to 334 of the family's 1533-position model. The record is from RNAcentral.